AAGGACCAAGAUGAUCUCGCACACACAUCUUCUCUGGCUCCUCGUGCUCGGGAUUCAGGGGUCCAGUGGGGAUGUCGUUGUGACUCAGACCCCCGCAUCCCUGUCGGUGUCUCCAGGAGACACAGCCACCAUCAACUGCAACACCGGUUCAUACAGUACUAGUAGCAUAGCCUGGUACCAACAGAAACCAGGACAAGCUCCUAAGCUCCUUAUCUAUAGCAAAACCUCCCGCCCCUCCGGGAUCCCCGACCGGUUCAGCGGCAGUGGCUCUUCCACUGCCUUCACUUUCACCAUCAGCCGGGUUGAAGCAGGUGAUGCUGGAGAUUAUUAUUGUCAGUACCAUGGUGCAACCCCUCUCACAGUGAUACAGACUGGUACAAAAACCUCCCUUCAGGCUUCAUUGGUUCAUUGCUGCUUCCUUGAGCGCACCCAACUUCUGCCAACGGACCACUCAGCUGAGAUUCUCUACCGCUCUAUCGCUGCACCCCGCACUCCUCAUCUUUCCAGGGCAGCGGUUCUCAACCAGUUUGCCAUGAGACCCUUUCAGGUUGCUGUGUCUUGGGCUCAGCUGCUGCCAUCAGUGCCAGGUAAAAGUGUGCUGCAUGCCAGGUGCACUACCGGACUAGGAAUGGCUGCGGUACCGACACAUAUUCCUCCUGCGUUCAGCUUCUCUGAUUAG
Non-coding RNA from Alligator sinensis (Chinese alligator), 679 nucleotides. Lineage: Eukaryota; Metazoa; Chordata; Crocodylia; Alligatoridae. The record is from the annotation of a RefSeq genome assembly.